CCCAAGGGACUCUGCAAGCUAGUCAUGUGACAUACUUCUGACCAAUGAGAGGCCAGCAGAAGUCUUUGUGAGAGGCUGCCAGGAUUUACCGGUUCCAGUCUCUUUUGCUUUCUGUUUUCUCUUUCUUCCUGUCUGGAAUGUAGCUGUAGUGCCUGAAAGGGCUGCGGCUAUUUUGCAAACCUGGGGUGGAAGUUACCUGUUUCUGAUGGCAGAGAGGUGCUAGAAGGUGCCAGGGUCCGUGCAAGUCCGAAUCAUCAUGCCAGCCUUCUCCGGAUUCUGGCCACUACCGGGAGCGCCAGGAGCCAGAGGCGCCACACAUCAAAAGGUGGUUUUGAAGGGGCUGCCCCCAUCACUCCUAAUGACCUCCAGUGACAUUUUGUGUGUCCACCCUGCAACUUUGGGUUUCCCUGGUUUUGAAGUCCUGGUUCUCAUGGAAUUCACAGAAGAAGAAAUGCACAUGGAGGACGCAGGAAGGGGGUUUGGCCACAUCAUUUCUAUGACUUCCAGGUCACAGCUGCUCCUUGGCAUGACUGUGCCUCAACCCCAGACUUCCUGUCUAUCAUGGCAGAAGGAGAAUUCCUUGGCUUGAGGUGGAAGAAAUCACAGCAGGUUCUUCCAUGCCCUGGACUAGACAAGCCAUCGUCAGGGCGUCUGACAAGACUGUGUCUGCCUGGAAGGAGCGGGCCCUGACCCAGCCUAUGGGCCUGUGUGUGUUGGCAAAGGUUCACAAAGAUGUUGGACUCUGGUCCUGCAUAUUGAAAACAUUUUUCAGUGGAGCCCAGGUAUUUGACUGGAAAAAUGAUAAUAUUCCCUCUCGGGAUGUCAAACAUCCGGAUAAAUAGAAGUCUUUUUCCAUCUUCCCUCUGGCCCGAGGGUUACAAAGGACUCAUAGACACAGGCCUUUGGAACUGGCUAGCUCAGCCAGCGCAAGUACCAACCUGUACCACAGAGAGUGACUAUUUUUAAAAAGAGAGGGAAGUAUGUCGCCCAGGUUUGCUCAGAGAGCCUGGCUCCCUCAGGAGAGGAUGCGGGGCCUGCCUACCUUUCAGAUGGAUGCCUCUGAGUGGUGUCAGGGCAGCCACUGUGACACUUAAGGCUCAUAUCGCCAAGUGCUGCAUAGCAGGAGGCUGGGGCCAGCCUGGAAGGGAGAAGUUAGCCCACCCAGGACUGGGGCUAUGAGAAGGUGGGGGCAGGAAUUGGGCAGAAGGUGCUGUAGGCAUUAACUGAAGAGCUGUUUUUAUUUUCAAUGAACUGGAACCCAAGGAUGCUCAAGCUACAGGGAGCCUGUUGGUUAAAUAAAGACUUAAUGCAGACAUGCCCUCCCACACACACAAAAUCCUCCUGCAAACAGUGUGAUGGGCCUGCUGGACAAGCUUUUGGGAGGAAGCCACAGAGAGGGAAUGACCCCACAUCUUCCUCAAGUUUCACAAGGAGUCAUGACAACCUUCCCAGAUCUUGGGCUUCUUUGAGAGCCAUCUUACACUGUCGAGCCAGUGGCCUCUAGGAUGGACUCUGAUUCCCCAACUCUGCUUGUCUCCAUGUCACUGGAAGCCACUGCCUGGUGUGUGGGCACUGAAGCCCCUGGGGCCAAUACAAACACUUUAUUUAACUCCUUGCCUUUGGCUCCAGUAGGACACCAUGCCCUGUCACAUUUGGUGUGAGAUCUUAAUUCUUUAAGAAGUACUUCCUUGGGCUGGAGAGAUGAAGAGCACUGGCUGCUCUUCCAGAGGUCCUGAGUUCAAUUCCCAGCAACCACAUGGUGGCUCACAGUCAUCUGUAAUGAGAUCUGGUGCCCUCUUCUGGCCUGCAGGCAUAUAUGGAGGCAGAAUGUUAUAUAAAAAAUAAAUAAAUAAAUCUCUUUUUAAAAAAAGUACUUCCUUGUGGGUAGAAUUAGAGUUGAUUGAAUAUUCU
RNAcentral lists this long non-coding RNA (1911 nucleotides) under Cricetulus griseus (Chinese hamster). RNAcentral's name for it is "lncRNA (ENSCGRG00015020350.2)". Lineage: Eukaryota; Metazoa; Chordata; Mammalia; Rodentia; Cricetidae. The record is from RNAcentral.